GAUGAACGCUGGCGGCGUGCCUAAUACAUGCAAGUCGAGCGGAAGGACGAGAAGCUUGUUUCUUUGAUGUUAGCGGCGGGCGGGUGAGUAACACGUGGAUCACCUCCCUAUAUGUCUGGGAUAAUUUCGGGACACCGGCGAUUAUACUGGAUAAUAUUUUGAACCGCAGGGUUCAAAAGAGAGAGACGGUCUUGCGGUCUCUAAUAGAUGGAUCCGCGCUGCAUUAGCUAGUUGGUAAGGUAACGGCUUACCAAGGCUACGAUGCAUAGCCGACCUGAGAGGGUGAUCGCCCACACUGGAACUGAGACACGGUCCAGACUCCUACGGGAGGCAGCAGUAGGGAAUCUUCCGCAAUGGGCGAAAGCCUGACGGAGCAACGCCGCGUGAGUGAUGAAGGUCUUCGGAUCGUAAAACUCUGUUAUUAGGGAAGAACAUAUGUGUAAGUAACUGUGCACAUCUUGACGGUACCUAAUCAGAAAGCCCCGGCUAACUACGUG
Molecule: ribosomal RNA, 497 nt
Filed under: uncultured bacterium
Lineage: Bacteria
Description: partial 16S ribosomal RNA
Rfam family: Bacterial small subunit ribosomal RNA
Source: RNAcentral